UACGGGGGGGGCAAGCGUUGUUCGGAAUUACUGGGCGUAAAGGGCUCGUAGGCGGCCAACUAAGUCAGACGUGAAAUUUCUCGGCUUAACCGAGGCAGGUCGUCGGAUACUGCGGAACUUGAGGACGGUAGAGGCGUGUGGAAUUCCGGGUGUAGUGGUGAAAUGCGUAGAGAUCCGGAGGAACACCAGUGGCGAAGGCGACACGCUGGGCCGUACCUGACACUGAUGCGCGACAGCAUGGGGAGCAAACAGG
This 253-nucleotide ribosomal RNA is filed under the name uncultured bacterium. Its description in RNAcentral is "partial 16S ribosomal RNA". It matches the Rfam family "Bacterial small subunit ribosomal RNA", at positions 524 to 776 of the family's 1533-position model. The record is from RNAcentral.